Molecule: ribosomal RNA, 301 nt
Filed under: uncultured delta proteobacterium
Lineage: Bacteria; Deltaproteobacteria
Description: bacterial SSU rRNA
Rfam family: Bacterial small subunit ribosomal RNA
Source: RNAcentral
GGAAGAAUUUUGACGGUACCAUUAGAGGAAGCCCCGGCUAACUCCGUGCCAGCAGCCGCGGUAAUACGGAGGGGGCAAGCGUUGUUCGGAAUUAUUGGGCGUAAAGCGUAUGUAGGCGGCUAAGUAAGUCAGAGCGUGCAAGCCCGUGGCUCAACCACGGAAUUGCGUUUGAAACUGUUCGGCUUGAGUACAGGAGAGGAAGGCGGAAUUCCCAGUGUAGCGGUGAAAUGCAUUGAUAUUGGGAAGAACAUCUGUGGCGAAGGCGGCUUUCUGGUCUGUUACUGACGCUGAUAUACGAAAG